UGCCCACUGAUAUAAUAAUUAAAGGGCUGCAGUAUUUUGACUGUACAAAGGUAGCAUAAUCAUUAGUCAUUUAAUUGAUGACUUGUAUGAAAGAUUGGAUGAAAUAUAAACUGUCUUUUAAGUAAAUUAUAGAAUUUAAUUUUUUAAUUAAAAAGUUAAAAUAUUUUAAAAAGACGAGAAGACCCUAUAGAGUUUUAUUUAAAAUAAAAUUAAGAUUUUUUAUAAAUUAAAUAAUUUAAAUUUUAUUUUAAAUUUUGUUGGGGUGAUAAAAAAAUUAAAUAAACUUUUUUUUAAUAUAUAUAUAUAUAUAUAUAUAUAUAUAUAUAAACAUAAAUAAAUGAAUUUAUGAUCCAAUUUUAUUGAUUAUAAGAAUAAAUUACCUUAGGGAUAACAGCGUAAUUUUUUUUUUUAGUUCAAAUAAGAAAAAGAGUUUGCGACCUCGAUGUUGGAUUAAGAUAAAAUUUAAAUGCAGAAGUUUAAAA
Molecule: ribosomal RNA, 482 nt
Filed under: Arctornis nivea
Lineage: Eukaryota; Metazoa; Arthropoda; Insecta; Lepidoptera; Erebidae
Description: partial large subunit ribosomal RNA
Source: RNAcentral